GAUGAACGCUAGCGGGAGGCCUAACACAUGCAAGCCGAGCGGUAGAGUCUCUUCGGAGACUUGAGAGCGGCGCACGGGUGCGGAACACGUGUGCAACCUGCCUUUAUCUGGGGGAUAGCCUUUCGUAGGGAAGAUUAAUACCCCAUAAUAUACUGGAUGGCAUCAUCUGGUAUUGAAAACUCCGGUGGAUAGAGAUGGGCACGCGCAAGAUUAGAUAGUUGGUGAGGUAACGGCUCACCAAGUCAGCGAUCUUUAGGGGGCCUGAGAGGGUGAUCCCCCACACUGGUACUGAGACACGGACCAGACUCCUACGGGAGGCAGCAGUGAGGAAUAUUGGACAAUGGGUGAGAGCCUGAUCCAGCCAUCCCGCGUGAAGGACGACGGCCCUAUGGGUUGUAAACUUCUUUUGUAUAGGGAUAAACCUAGGUACGUGUAUCUAGCUGAAGGUACUAUACGAAUAAGCACCGGCUAACUCCGUG
Molecule: ribosomal RNA, 479 nt
Filed under: uncultured bacterium
Lineage: Bacteria
Description: partial 16S ribosomal RNA
Rfam family: Bacterial small subunit ribosomal RNA
Source: RNAcentral